GAUGAACGCUGGCGGCGUGCCUAAUACAUGCAAGUCGAGCGAACAGAUGAGGAGCUUGCUCCUCUGACGUUAGCGGCGGACGGGUGAGUAACACGUGGAUAACCUACCUAUAAGACUGGGAUAACUUCGGGAAACCGGAGCUAAUACCGGAUAAUAUAUUGAACCGCAUGGUUCAAUAGUGAAAGACGGUUUUGCUGUCACUUAUAGAUGGAUCCGCGCCGCAUUAGCUAGUUGGUAAGGUAACGGCUUACCAAGGCAACGAUGCGUAGCCGACCUGAGAGGGUGAUCGGCGACACUGGAACGGAGACACGGUCCAGACUCCUACGGGAGGCAGCAGUAGGGAAUCUGCCGCAAUGGGCGAAAGCCUGACGGAGCAACGACGCGUGAGUGAUGAAGGUCUUCGGAUCGUAAAACUCUGUUAUUAGGGAAGAACAAAUGUGUAAGUAACUAUGCACGUCUUGACGGUACCUAAUCAGAAAGCCAAGGCUAACUACGUG
Molecule: ribosomal RNA, 497 nt
Filed under: uncultured bacterium
Lineage: Bacteria
Description: partial 16S ribosomal RNA
Rfam family: Bacterial small subunit ribosomal RNA
Source: RNAcentral